RNAcentral lists this unclassified non-coding RNA (204 nucleotides) under Hevea brasiliensis (rubber tree). The record is from RNAcentral. Lineage: Eukaryota; Viridiplantae; Streptophyta; Magnoliopsida; Malpighiales; Euphorbiaceae.
AUAUACUAACCAAUAUAAUCUGUUUGUUUAUGUUUUGAGAAUAUUAAUUAUAAUCUCAACAUUAAUUGAUUUUACUCUUUACAAAGAUUAAUAAAAGAACAUGAAGAAAUUAAUGAAUGGUCAAGGUCUCAUAAAAUAAUGAUGGAAGCCAUUAUUUUGAGUCCUUAUUAUCUGCUGGGGGAAUCCUGAUGAUGCUGCAGCAGU